Molecule: RNA transcript, 4214 nt
Organism: Fundulus heteroclitus (mummichog)
Lineage: Eukaryota; Metazoa; Chordata; Actinopteri; Cyprinodontiformes; Fundulidae
Exons: 3
Source: RefSeq, a predicted model, not a curated record
GUGUUGGUUUGUGGUGUUUCUGGAGGAACUGGACAACUGAAGGAGCUGCACGUACAUUAAAUUGCAGUCUGGAUAGACGGUGGACGGCGUGCGGGAGAGUUGGGGUCUAAGGAUGCUGCAGGGAUGACUGCAGGGAUCGUUGAGGGGACACGUGCCUGGGUAGACGUGGUGGGGACGACUGGAGUGACCAAUCAUACAUCUACGAUAAAAAAAAACAAUAUAAAAAGUAAAAGCAUUCGCUAUGCUUAACAUUGGUGUUUUCGGAAUAGAAAAUUGGAGAAGGGCUUAUAACUGGAGUUAGACCGUGAAGUGGAAAAAAUAGAAAUGGAUCCUAAUAGAGACAAAACAUACUUUAUACAGAUUAAGACGGAAUUAGACCAACUUGAGAAAGAGAAAUGUAAAGGUUCGAUUCUCAGGAGCAAAGCUCAUUAUACAAUAGAAGGAGAAAAAUGCACCAACAUUUUUUUAAAUCUGGAGAAGAGAAAGCAAGCUAAAAGUUACAUCUCAGAGCUUGAAACUGAUGAAGGGAAGAAGUUAACAGAUUUUGUUGACAUCCUUGAAACGGUCCAAUCUUAUUAUAAAAGGCUGUUUCAAAGAGAAGAUGUUGAUCAGACGAGUGUGAGAAAAGUUUUGAAGACAGUAAGAAGCAAACUUGCGGAAGAGGAUAAGCAAUUUUGUGAUGAGGAUGUACAAAUUGAGGAAAUAAAAGUGGCUAUUAAGCAGGCUAAGCCUGGCUAGAGCCCAGGUUGAGAUGGGUUUACGAAUGAGUUUUAUCAAACUUUCUCUGACAUAUUAGCACCUAUCCUAAGAAACCUGUUUUUUAUAUAUGGAAAAAAGAAGGGAUAUUCCAUUAUAAAUGGCAACAGGAGUCAUAACAAUCGUGUUUAAAAAUAAGGGUAGCCCUCUGAAGUUGGACAAUUAUAGACCAAUUAGUUUGUUGAAUACAGACUAUAAAAUUUUAGCUAAAGUCUUGGCUAACAGAUUAAAAGGAGUAGUAGGAACUAUUAUUUCACCAAUACAGGCUUAUGGUAUACCAGGCAGAGAUAUAACAGACACUAUAUGCUCAAUUAGAGACACGAGGAAGGGGGUGUCGUGCUGAGCCUUGACCUAAACAAAGCUUUCGAUAGAGUUGAGCAUAGCUAUUUAAAGAAAACUUGGAAACAUUUGGUUUUGGUCAGAGAAUGGUGGAUUGGAUUGGUCUUCUGUAUGGAAGUGCGAUAAGCCGUGUAAAACUUAAUGGUGUCCUUACAGAUACUUUCUCUGUGGAGCGUUCAGUUCGGCAGGGUUGCCCACUUUCAGUGAUCUUAUAUAGUAUUUCGGCAGAGCCAUUAGCAACAUUCAAAGAUAAUCAAGCAAUCAACUGUGUAAAGGACCCACAUGGCCAAAAGAGCUUAAUCUAUCAGUAUGCGGAUGACACAACAUUUACAGUUAGGGAUAUGGAAAGUAUAAAAAGAAUAAGAGUGGAUAUUGAAACUUAUGGGAAGGCGUCAGGGGCUAAAGUUAAUAACGACAAAUCCGAAAUGAUGGUAAUAGGGAAUAUUGAGGUUUCAAGGGAUGACAUACCAUACAAAUUGUGUACGGAUUUUGUUAAAAUCUUGGGGUUUUAUAUUGGGGUGUCUGUGACUGAGGCGAGGGAUCUGACCUGGACCGCCAUUUUAAAUAAAAUAAGGCAGUCUCUAAUGUUUUGGCGAUUAAGGAAACUUAAUCUAAGAGGGAAGGUAGUUGUUGUGAAUGCUCUGUUAUUGUCCAAACUCAAUUAUGUUUUGGGGGCUGUUGAUUUGCCUGACUGGGUCAUUAGCGAAGUAAGAAAGGUGGUGCGUACCUUCUUAUGGGGUGGGAAGAAAGUUGAAAUAGCGCACAAGACCUUGAUAGCAGACUACAGAGAGGGUGGCCUGAAGUUGGUCGAUUUGCAUACCAAAAGACAAUCAAUAAGAAUAAAAACUGUUAAAAAAUAUCUUUAUGAUAAAGUUGAAUAUGGAUGGAAAGGCUUAUUCAAAGAUUUUUUACAUAAAAUUGGGGGAUGUGGAGAGAGUGGUAUUUUCAUGGAAAUAAGGCGGGAUAUGAUGGGAGAAAUUCCAGCUUUCUAUUGUGAAGUGCUUAGUGCAUGGGCAGAAUUUAUUAAGUAUAUCCGUUAUGAUUGUGAAAAUAUUCACCAGAUUAUAGAUCAGCCAAUCUUCCUAAAUCCUAUGAUAAAAGUGCAAGGAAAAACAAUUUAUAAUAAAUAUUUAAUGUCGGCAGGGAUAAGUAAGAUAAGGGACAUUAUAUACGAGUUUGUACCGGGGUUCUUGCCAAAUAGAGCUAUUCAAGAAAUAGUUAUGGAUAGAGAUAAUAAAAUUAGUGCAACAAUGGUUGAUAAAGUAUUUGACAACAUUAGACUAGGUUUGCCAAAAGCAAAAAAUACUGAAAAUACUGUACAGACAGAGAAUGCGCAUUAUCGUGAGGACAGAAUCCCAGAUUUUUUCAUUGUGAUAAUGGCAAAAAGGAAACAUUUGUCAGAAGCAAAAGUUAAAUGUGUAUACAAAAUCUUGCUAGAAAGUGAAUUAAAACCUCCAGCCUCAGAAAAGAUGUGGACAGAGGUUUUCCAAAAGCAUAGUGUUGAAGACAUUUGGAGGACCUUGAACGUCAGGUAUAAUUGUUUGGACUGUAAAAAUUUGGAAUUUAAAUUGAGACAUAAAAAGGAUAUACACAAAUGUGAUGUUGCAUCAAAUCAAUGGGGAUGUUAAAAGGGCCUCUGCUGAGCCCUCCAAUCUCGUCAGUUCACAGCAGCACAACACUUCACCGUCUGGACCGUCAGUACAUGUUGACACAUUGUUCUUUCUCCUUUCCCCUCUCACUGUGUCUGUCCCAUUGUCUUUCCUCAGUAUGUCGAGAGCCAAGACGUAUCUCCUGCCUCCCCCGUGGAGGAGGAGGAGGAGAAGAAGAAGGAGGAGAUGAUGCUGAAGCCCAGGAAAUGGAUUAUCCUUGGGGUUGUAUGCCCAACAAAGGGAAGCUCCUCUUACGCUCGAGUGCCUCGCGCACUUGGAACAGCGGAAGAGGGAGGGGUAACAUUAUUCACCGGGUGCUCUUGCCCUGCUCCAUGGGUAAUUAUUAUCAUGGUCUUUCCUGCCUCUGCGUCCCCGCCUGGAGUCGGCGUGUCUCACUCAUGACACUCAUGACUCAUGACAUUUCUCCUCUUAGAGACAUACAUCGAGAGUUACAAGAGCUAUUACACCAACAGGUACGGGAGCAGGAAAAUAGAUAAGGGUGUGAUCAGCAGGAUCAGCCGCCUCAAGGGUUUGCUGCGCUACAUGGAAGUUUGUCUAUAACCCUGCCCGUGUCAACAGGUGAGAUCAGUUGCCCAUUUCAAACCAUGUCUGACAGUGUCGCUUUCCCUCUACAGAUGGAUAAUGGAGCUAAGCAGCAACCAAAAAAAGAUAACCACUGUGCACUUCUACAUCUACCAAAUCUGCCAAUUCAUGAGCUACAUGAAGAGGAGCCGCCCUAACAGCUGCAGGAUGGCGAAUACACAGACUUUGAAGUUGCUGGAGCUGCUGGAAAAUGGCAAGGGGAACACUAAACUGCCAAUUACGCUUCACCAAAACAAGGUGACGCGUGCCAAGAGCAGGAGAUGAUCCUCAGAUGCACCCGCCUGGCACCCAGAUUUAUCGAAAACGCCUUGGACGAGCUGGAGAAAGACCCACGUCAGACCACCCUCCACUACCAGCUCCAUGGCUACCUUACUGCUUACUGGGUGUGCAUUAAGUGGCCACAGGCCAGGCGUCUUCACAAACAUGCAGAACAACCAGGUGAAUGCAGGAGCAAAGGAGAAUACGCCACAGGGGGUCCUUAUCAGGAGGUGCUGUUGCUGCUGUGAAGAGCCUAUAUGUGACCAGUACAUAUCCUGUUCCACGCAGGUAUUUGUUUUAUUUUGCUGCCUUUCUUUUAAAUAUAAAUGUAUUAUUGUGGCCUUUAUAUGCAAGACGGGCACGAGAGGUGCUGUUGCUGCUGUGAAGAGCCUAUAUGUGACCAGUACAUAUCCUGUUCCACGCAGAUUAAACGCAUCAUUCCACAUCUUCCGUCUCUUGGCCAUCUUUAAAACACAACGCGGAGGUAUUAUACUAGGAAAACACGAAAACAAGACUACUUCUAUCUGGACCGAGCUGAACAAACAGACGGCCAAGUUCAGUACGGUUACACCUAGUAGAGAGGAUUUGUUAAUGGAAAUAUUGUGUUAA